UUGAGUUGUGGGUGAUUAUUUUUGGGGUUAGUGUUUGUUGCACCUGUCAGAACUGUUGGUUGAUCGUUUUUGUUCGUGUAUUCAUUCUGGAUUAAAAGUAUUAUGGAUAGGUGAUGCACUUUGGUCCUCCUCUCCUUCUACCAACGAAAAUCAUUGAAUUACUUCAACUUUGGAAACCUUUUAUGUUGACAAUCUUUCAAUGUGCAGGUCAUCUGUGAGUCACAUUUGGCUUUGUUGAAUGUAGCAACCAAAUGGCCAGGUGGGACACAUGAUUCAUUCAUUGUGCAGAACUGUUCAGUCGGCCUUAACCUCCAGGAAGGCGCUGUUGAGGAUGGAUGGCUUAUUGGAGACUGGGGCUAGCCAUGAAAAACAAGGCUGACUCCCCUCACAAACCGCCUCAAACCAACGAGGCAAGGUACCACCAACCCCAGGGACGCACAAGAACAGUGGAGUGCACCAUAGGCCUGCUGAAAGGGUAUUGGCUGUGCUUGUCUGGGACAGGAGGCACAUCGCGAUACAAACUCUGCAAUGUCUGCCUCUGAAAUGACAUUCCUUCAAAUGCCAUUACGUGAAUGUAAUACAAUGUGCAAAUUCCUUUUUAGGUUUGCUACAUUGUCAAGGCUUGCAGUGUGCUCCACAACGUUGCAAUCAAAAACUGAAUGAUCCACCCAGACCUGACGAGCCCAUGCCUGACAGGGAGUGUUUCCCACCACCCAUAGCUCUCUCCCAUAGAGUCAAUAUCAUACAACAGUUUUAGUUUUCUUCCAAAUAUUGUAAUUAAAGUAAUAAGUAUGACACAAUCAACUUCUUUCAAUGAUUUAUUUAUCUCAGGCCAUUGCAUACAUCCUCCAGCUGCUGUUUAAGUCCAAGAAUCUCUUGUUGUUUCAGGACUGCGCCAGUCAUAACAUGCGGUGCAGCUGAAGCGCUCGCCAAAGAGAACCUUCUUGUAGGCCUGGGGAUGGCUAAGGGGUCAGGCAAAUCACCCACAUCCAAAGAUUUCAUGUUUGUUUUUUAUAUUCAUUUUUUUCAAAUAUUUAGAUGUGUUCAUGGUUGUGAAAAUAAAACUGGACUUACUAUCA
This is a non-coding RNA of Oncorhynchus mykiss (rainbow trout), 1079 nucleotides long. The record is from RefSeq and is a predicted model, not a curated record. Lineage: Eukaryota; Metazoa; Chordata; Actinopteri; Salmoniformes; Salmonidae.